RNAcentral lists this ribosomal RNA (227 nucleotides) under uncultured crenarchaeote. RNAcentral's name for it is "partial 16S ribosomal RNA". It matches the Rfam family "Archaeal small subunit ribosomal RNA", at positions 694 to 920 of the family's 1478-position model. Lineage: Archaea; Thermoproteati; Thermoproteota. The record is from RNAcentral.
ACGGUGAGGGAUGAAAGCUGGGGGAGCAAACCGGAUUAGAUACCCGGGUAGUCCCAGCUGUAAACUAUGCAAACUCAGUGAUGCAUUGGCUCGUGGCCAAUGCAGUGCUGCAGGGAAGCCGUUAAGUUUGCCGCCUGGGAAGUACGUACGCAAGUAUGAAACUUAAAGGAAUUGGCGGGGGAGCACCACAAGGGGUGAAGCCUGCGGUUCAAUUGGAGUCAACGCCG